GGCGGUGUAGCACAGUGGGUCAGGAACUGGGCUUGCAACCGAAGGGUCAUGGGUUCGAUUCCUGAUUAGGCCA
Molecule: transfer RNA, 73 nt
Filed under: Anguilla anguilla (European eel)
Lineage: Eukaryota; Metazoa; Chordata; Actinopteri; Anguilliformes; Anguillidae
Description: tRNA-OTHER
Source: RNAcentral